RNAcentral lists this long non-coding RNA (241 nucleotides) under Lathyrus oleraceus (garden pea). Its description in RNAcentral is "Pisum sativum (pea) long non-coding RNA (PSAT_LNC027267)". Lineage: Eukaryota; Viridiplantae; Streptophyta; Magnoliopsida; Fabales; Fabaceae. The record is from RNAcentral.
UUCAAACCUAAAACUUUAACCGUGUUGUUUCCUCUAAACCAUAAACCUUUUCUUGAACCUUAACAAACCUUAUUAUUAUUUCCUAUUUUCGCUCUUAUUUUAUAUAUUCAUACACUGUACUGCUUCGCCUUGUAAUAUUUUAAGUUUUAACUUGUAAUAUUUUUAGUUUUACUUUUCGCCAUCUUUAUUAUGUAACUGCACCAAAGCGUUGUAAUAAUUAGGAUUUUAUUUUCUGCCAUUU